GAUGACGGCCUUCGGGUUGUAAACCUCUUUCGACAGGGACGAAGCGAAAGUGACGGUACCUGUAGAAGAAGCACCGGCUAACUACGUGCCAGCAGCCGCGGUAAUACGUAGGGUGCGAGCGUUGUCCGGAAUUAUUGGGCGUAAAGAGCUCGUAGGCGGUUUGUCGCGUCGACUGUGAAAACUGGGGGCUUAACUCUCAGCUUGCAGUCGAUACGGGCAGACUUGAGUUCGGUAGGGGAGACUGGAAUUCCUGGUGUAGCGGUGAAAUGCGCAGAUAUCAGGAGGAACACCGGUGGCGAAGGCGGGUCUCUGGGCCGAUACUGACGCUGAGGAGCGAAAGCGUGGGGAGCGAACAGGAUUAGAUACCCUGGUAGUCCACGCUGUAAACGUUGGGCGCUAGGUGUGGGGGACAUUCACGUCUUCCGUGCCGUAGCUAACGCAUUAAGCGCCCCGCCUGGGGAGUACGGCUGCAAGGCUA
Molecule: ribosomal RNA, 478 nt
Filed under: uncultured bacterium
Lineage: Bacteria
Description: bacterial SSU rRNA
Rfam family: Bacterial small subunit ribosomal RNA
Source: RNAcentral